Oncorhynchus tshawytscha (Chinook salmon) is the source of this 1038-nucleotide long non-coding RNA. NCBI's taxonomy places the organism in Eukaryota, Metazoa, Chordata, Actinopteri, Salmoniformes, Salmonidae. The record is from Ensembl.
GCCAUUCUUCAUCACUAGUGGGACAUCCAGGGGGACAGACCAGGCCACAUGAUGGCACACACUCAAACCCAUCCCCAUGGUGACAGUCAUGGGUGAACACACUCAAACCCAUCCCCAUGGUGAUAGCCAUGAGUGAACAUACUCAAACCCAUCCCCAUGGUGACAGCCAUGAGUGAACACACUCAAACCCAUGGUGACAGUCAUGGUGAACACACUCAAACCCAUCCCCAUGGUGACAGCCAUGAGUGAACACACUCAAACCCAUCCCCAUGGUGACAGCCAUGAGUGAACACACUCAAACCCAUCCCCAUGGUGACAGCCAUGAGUGAACACACUCAAACCCAUCCCCAUGGUGACAGCCAUGAGUGAACACACUCAACCCCAUCCCCAUGGUGACAGCCAUGGGCGAACACACUCAAACCCAUCCCCAUGGUGACAGUCAUGGGCGAACACACUCAAACCCAUCCCCAUGGUGACAGUCAUGGGUGAACACACUCAACCCCAUCCCCAUGGUGACAGUCAUGGGUGAACACACUCAACCCCAUCCCCAUGGUGACAGUCAUGGGUGAACACACUCAAAACCAUCCCCAUGGUUACAGUCAUGGGUGAACACACUCAAAACCAUCCCCAUGGUUACAGUCAUGGGUGAACACACUCAAAACCAUCCCCAUGGUUACAGUCAUGGGUGAACACACUCAAAACCAUCCCCAUGGUUACAGUCAUGGGUGAACACACUCAAAACCAUCCCCAUGGUUACAGUCAUGGGUGAACACACUCGAACCCAUCCCCAUGGUGACAGUCAUGGGUGAACACACUCAAAACCAUCCCCAUGGUUACAGUCAUGGGUGAACACACUCAAACCCAUCCCCAUGGUGACAGCCAUGGGUGAACACACUCAAACCCAAACUCAGUCCUGCCCGUGCACGUUUGUUUUUUUUGCCCUUGCACUACACAGCUGAUAAUAAAAACACUCGUCAAGCUUUGAAUAUUUUUAAAUCAGCUGUGUAGCGUUAGGGCAAAAACCAAAACGGGGCCCCA